RNAcentral lists this ribosomal RNA (253 nucleotides) under uncultured bacterium. RNAcentral describes it as "partial 16S ribosomal RNA". It matches the Rfam family "Bacterial small subunit ribosomal RNA", at positions 524 to 776 of the family's 1533-position model. The record is from RNAcentral.
UACGUAGGUGACAAGCGUUAUCCGGAAUUACUGGGCGUAAAGCGCACGCAGGCGGCGCAUUAAGUCUGACGUGAAAUCUCCUGGCUUAACUGGGAGGGGUCGUUGGAGACUGGUGUGCUUGAGGCGAUGAGAGGGGUGUAGAAUUCCCGGUGUAGUGGUGGAAUGCGUAGAUAUCGGGAGGAAUACCAGUGGCGAAAGCGACACCCUGGCAUUAGCCUGACGCUCAUGUGCGAAGGCGUGGGGAGCGAACGGG